UUGCUUCUCUCUCUCUUAUAGUUUCCUAUCUUCUAUUGCUUCUCUCUCCUGGCAGGGUUUUAAAACGAAAUCCGCAUACUUGUAUGCUUGCUUUUCCAAGAGAAGCAAAAGCACUUUGUUCGUUAUCGAUGACAGAGAUCUACAUCACUUUGGUGAUGAGAUGCUGCUACGGUUUAAACCCCUCGUUUUGGCAUCUUUGAGUUAAACAGAAGGCUAUGCAACUCUUUAAGAGGAUCAUCAUGAUAGAUCUUCCUAGUGGAGAGAUUAGGACUCUUCUGUUGAAGGAGUUCAUCCUUCAACAUGAACUUCUAACUUUGACUUUAAGAAAUGGGCAUAUAUUACAUACUCUUUCUCUGUCAAAGACCUAAAGGUUUUUUGUCAAAUCCGAAGAGACGUGCUUGUCUAUCUCAAGCGGAUUUCGCAGCCGCUUGUGAUAUGAUUACUCCAAGUUCGACAAUAUCAUAUUUGGAGACCCUUCAACAAUGGAGAAAAAACAAAUUGUUUUAAGAAGUUUUAACAUCAUU
This is a long non-coding RNA of Camelina sativa (false flax), 524 nucleotides long. RefSeq lists it as uncharacterized. The record is from RefSeq and is a predicted model, not a curated record. NCBI's taxonomy places the organism in Eukaryota, Viridiplantae, Streptophyta, Magnoliopsida, Brassicales, Brassicaceae.